Molecule: transfer RNA, 63 nt
Filed under: Urocitellus parryii (Arctic ground squirrel)
Lineage: Eukaryota; Metazoa; Chordata; Mammalia; Rodentia; Sciuridae
Also listed under: 1 other name
Description: Spermophilus parryii (Arctic ground squirrel) tRNA
Rfam family: tRNA
About the family: Transfer RNA (tRNA) molecules are approximately 80 nucleotides in length. Their secondary structure includes four short double-helical elements and three loops (D, anti-codon, and T loops).
Source: Rfam by way of RNAcentral
GGGGCUGUAGCUCAGUGGUAGAGCACUUGCCUAGCAUGCAUGAGGCCCUGGGUCCCGUCCCUA